Molecule: long non-coding RNA, 1807 nt
Organism: Populus trichocarpa (black cottonwood)
Lineage: Eukaryota; Viridiplantae; Streptophyta; Magnoliopsida; Malpighiales; Salicaceae
Exons: 3
Source: RefSeq, a predicted model, not a curated record
UCAUAUUCCUUGAGUGGGAUUAGAGGGACAAUCAUAUAGCUCGAGUUUCAUUCUUGGAAGUGGCAGAGAGUAUUCCUCAUUUAAUUAAUUAUUGUCUUCUUUUCAGGUCCUUUCGUUUUUUUUACCCCAAUCAUCAUAAUUAUAGGAACACUACAUCCAUUAAGGAUUAUAUUUGUGGUUGCAAUCUAUUGAUAGAGAGGCUGUGGGUGUCUAAGUGAUCGUGAACCUUUCAUUCGUUCCGGUCUCUGCUAUAUAAGCGUCGCGGCGAAAACAUUCACCCUCAAAAUAUCUAUCUAAAUGUGGCAAAUAUGUGUGGGGAGACAAGGAAUUCUUGUCUUUUACAUGUGAAAAGCAGGAAUGGAGAGUCGCCACCUAGUAUUUUGAUCACUAGGAACCCUAACUGGUCUUAAAGAUCGGGUACAGGGACUGGUUGCGCAAAGGGAGGUAUUAGCACCCCAAAUACGCCCUACCUAAGGUAAGCUACAUUGUUUUAUUGUCUAAUAAAAUCUAAGGUCUUGUCGUGUUUUUUAGUUGUUGGUCCGUCUAUGGUUCAAGAAAAGUCAUCUUCGGUAAAGAGAUCCUUAUCUUAUUAGGUAAAACCUAACCGUUCUAAUGUCAACAAAAGAAUUUAAUAUCCGGAAUAUGUCUUACGUAUAAGGUCGUAACCCUAGAUACUAAAAGAAAACAAAAUAAUGUUUUUUAGAAUUUUUAAAAUAUUGGCCUAGUUCUCGUUACUUUAAUAAACUAGUUAUUAAAGCCAAAAUGCAUGUUGAUAUAUAUUUUUGAAAUUUUCUUUGUUGUACGAAAAUACGAUUUUUUUUAAUUAUUAUUAUUGAGAGACUUGACCGUAUGCAUCAAAACAAAACAUUUUUUAUUUUUUUUAAUUUUUUGACGAAAACGAAGUAUUUUAAUACCGGAUUUGUAUCUUUAUAGUAUAAAAAUACAAACCAGUAUUGAUCAAAAUGCAGUAAAAAAAUACACGGGGAAAUCACAAAUUUUCCAAAAAUAUAUUUUUAAAAUUUUUUCCUUUUAGGCCGGGCCGGACCCGGCUCACCCAUUUUGGGCUAGGCCGGCACUGCCUGGCCCAGUAAACAAAAACAAACAGUGGAGAACUCUCCACUGUUCACUUGCAACGUGAACAAUGGAGCAGCCCGGGCGAGGAAGAAGAAGAAGAAGAGAAGUGGAGGCUUACCUGGCGGUCGUCCGUUCUUGCGGGAGCUGGAGCUGCCGGUUCUAUGCUGUUGGACGACGGUUCUGUUCCUUCUCUGUUCUAUUUUUUCUGUGUUCCUUCUUCUCCCCGCUUCUGUCUCCUGUUUCUCUUUUUCUUCUUCUGUUUCUAAUAGUGGUGGUGUCGUUGUUGAUGGUGGCGCUGGUGGCUGCAGACGGUGGCUCUUCUCUGCGGUGGCGGGCAGUGUUUGCUGCUGUUCUUCCCGUCUGUGCAGAGGCGCAGGCUUCUUCUUCUUCUUCACGGGUGUUGCAGCAGGGGGAGGAAGAUGGUGAGAGGCUGAUGGUGGCGCUGCUCCAAACGGCGGAGAGAGAGAGAGAGACCGAAGAGAUUGAGUGGUAACGGUCGGCGGUGUGCAGAGAGAUUGUAGCUGUGAAACGUUCCCCAUAACUGAAGCAAUCUGCGGCAUGUUAUUGCUGAAACUGUUGCUGAGGAGAAGACGAUGAACAGUUCAUGAAACGUCUCUGUUUCUCCAAUUCAAAUGGCCAUUUUGAUUUGGUCCUUGUGGUUUCACAAUUUUGUAAUCAAACUCUUGGACAAAUUAUAAUUGGAUCCCUGAACUUUAAUUUCUUCCAAAUAAAA